CACAGGCAGGGAAGGUGUGGGCAGAGCUGUUCUGCAGGCAGAGAGAAGCUGGAGAGAGGUGAGACAGAUGCACCUGGCCAUGUGGACUGUCCUGUGGGGGGGGUUCUUGCCCAUUGUAGCAGUCACUGGCCAGGUGGCCUUGGAGCAACACCCCAGGGAAGUGACUGUGGGAGAGGGAGAUAAAGUCACCUUGCAGUGCAGCAUGACACGAGGUGUUAUGUGGAAUUACUACAUGUACUGGUACCGUCAGGACCCACGUGGCACUCUGGAAUGGAUUUACAUGGAAGGUGAUAUCUAUGGAGAAGGUUUCCAAGAUCACUUUAAGGGAUCAGUGGAGAGCUCCAAGAACAGAGUCACAUUGCAGAUCCUGGCAGCAAAGCCAGGGGAUGCAGCAACGUAUUACUGUGGAGCAAGAAUCACCGUGGAGCAGCUCUGCAGCAGAGUGGAACAAAAACUGACUGACAGGAGCACAGAUCUCUCAGCAUUUCUUUCCAGCAGCUGCUCCCUAGGGGCUGUUGUUGGGAAAUGGCAGGUGCAGGAAACAGACCUCUGGCUUGGUGGCAGUCCAGGCAGUGGAGGGAAGUGUGGUAGAAGGGCUGGUACCAUUUAUGAUGCAGGAGGAUCUUUUCUGGGAACUUCAGAGGUAGUUCAGGGAAGUGCAGUUUUAGUGCACUUUGUCUGAGCCUCUCUCCAGCACAGCCCCAUUUUUCCUCUGUGGCUUGGCCAUGGGAUCGUGGAGGUGUGUUGUGGUAUCUUCCAGUUCCAGUUCCGUGGAGGAUGGAGCCAGGCUGUUCAGGAAAGACAGAGCAACAGAUGACAUUGCUCUGGGUGGCUGCUACAGAUCACCUGAUCGGGAAGAAGUAGAGAAGGUGUGGAGGGUUGACCUUGUCUGUCCACCCGGUGCCCACCAAAACACUCCUCUCAGUCCCCCUCCUCAACUGGACAGGGGGAAAAAUUGGAAUGAAAAGCUUAUGGAGCAAGAUAAGGACAAGGAGAUGUCCCAGA
Corapipo altera (White-ruffed manakin) is the source of this 1005-nucleotide non-coding RNA. NCBI's taxonomy places the organism in Eukaryota, Metazoa, Chordata, Aves, Passeriformes, Pipridae. The record is from the annotation of a RefSeq genome assembly.